Molecule: long non-coding RNA, 6292 nt
Filed under: Pavo cristatus (Indian peafowl)
Lineage: Eukaryota; Metazoa; Chordata; Aves; Galliformes; Phasianidae
Description: lncRNA (ENSPSTG00000004029.1)
Source: RNAcentral
UCUGCAGCUUCACACUAUGUAACACACCUCCUCAGGGCACAGUGCAAACCUGUGCUGGGCUUUGCACAAAGUUAAUAUACAAAAGGACCCAAAGAAAGGAGCGUUAUCAGAUCCUCCAUAGCUCAGGAAAAUUGGCACCUUAAUCAAAUUUCCAGUCCAGAGCCUUUAAGCCACAGGAGUAUUUUUGCUACAGAGGUGCUGCCGGUUCCGAAACUGCAAGCAUCAUCCUUAAAACACAACCAAAUAAUACUCCACUGCAUAACCCACCUCUAAAAGCAUAGGAAAAGUGAAAUCUAAGGCUGAGGCAACCGCAGUAAGUUUGUUAAUUCCAUCCGCAUCCAUUCACUUUCCACUUUCAGGUACAAACACGGAUAAAUGCACACAUGAAUGACUAAAACAGAAGGCGUUCGGCAGAGGCCCAUCAUAGGGUUUCUCUCUUAAAGACACAAUCUCAAAAGACACACGAUCUCAAAGUCAGAGGAACCCUCCAGCUCCAUCCAUUUGCCCGCGCACAAAAUACUACAGCAAUAUAAAACCCCAUUUCCUCCGACUCCUUGCUAGUUCUAAAUUCAUCCCUGCACACGUCCUGGGCAAUUCUGACAGUCACUUAUCUUCAGUCUAUGAAAGCAGUACAAAAACUGCUAACUUCACGACUUAAAACAUGGCUUUGCAGCUGUCAGCUGGCGUACAGACUUAGACACCGAGCAACGUGCUGCUGAAGAUUUGGGUCUCCCAAAUCAUGCAGCACUGCCGGCAGCUCCUCGUGAGCCAGCCCCAUGCUUCAGCAUGACAAGGAGCCCAGCAUCUUAUCUGCAGCGCCUGGGAGCACAACACUUCCCCACCAGCAGUGAGGUAAGGAUUCCCAGAAAUAAGAGCUAUGUUUUAUCUGUCCUGCUUCCUCAGCACACAUGCUGUAUCACACAGAGACCGGAUACAGAGACCACAAAACCACCCAUGUGCCUUAAAAGGGAGGGAAGUAAAAGGGGGAGGAGGCAAGUCUACAAGUUUGAAUAAAGCAAAACAAGCUUGCCUAGUCCUCUGCUCAUUAACAAUAAAGCCAGCACAUUUGUACAAUAUCUGCUGCCUCAGCCCAAUGGUAACAAAAGCAGCAAACUGCCAUCGCCCUGCUGACAACCAGAUUGGCACAAUAAUGGCCAAAGCUGCUUCGUCCUGCGGAGGAUUUCUGCCUGGUGCAACAUCCCACCAGACACGAAGCACCCUGCCUACAGCGGCGGCAUCACACGGCCGAGUUCCGAUCCCCCAGGACCUGUCUUUCCAAAGACACCACACGGAUACCUCGGAAGCACAGGGAUUUGGCCAACAGAAGACGAGGACACUCUGAAAUACACAUCAGCAUCCCAGCUGAGCCAUCCCUGCCCUCUUUCAGUUCCUGGGACAGCGCUGCACCUUCAACACAGACUUGAGUGGCCGCACAGCUCUGCCCCUGCUUCCUCCAACACACGCACACAAGCUAAGACUUGGACCACAAACACAGCAGGGAAAAAAACCAGCAGCCCUUGAGAAAGUGGAGAGAAGCCUGCAAGCACUUACCACCACCUGAAGUUAAUGCUUUUCUAUGCUCAGGGUUCAUUUCCUCAAACCAUAAUUUAGACUAUUAUAACCUUUACCUUAUUAUGGCUUACCAUAAUAAGACUCCUACCUCUGCCAAAUAUAAAAAUCAAUAAAGAAUUUUGCAUAUUAUCAGUUUUUGCUUUACAGAUCGAUCCUGCCACACAAUUCCACGCACUGAUUCAUGACCUCUCAGUGGUCCUUUGCUGUUCCUCUGGUUCCACAGUUGCACUGUUUCUAUGAUGUCUUUCAUUAGAGAUCUCCAAGCCCCUGAUUAAUCACCUCUACUCAGUACUUCGCUUACACAAACAUUAGGCUGAAUCAGAUCUCUAAUGGAAUCUGUUCAGGAUAACCGGGUAAGGGAUGAAAUCACGCACCCCAAUGUUUCAGGCCUCUGAAACACUACAGAGCAUCCCCUUCCUACCAGAGACCAAACAAACCACCAUUUACAGAGCACAGUCAGCACCUUCAGCAUGCACAGAUGUCAGCAGAGAACAAUGACCUUUCCACAGGGCACAGCCACUCUAUCUACACGAAACAUACAGGGAGCAGGCCUUGAACAACCGCGAGAUCCAAAGAAUCUCUUGGCUUGUGCCCUUCCCUUUCUGAAAGAAACACACCCACAUUUUGAGCAUUUACACUGCUCAGUGCCUGCCUUACACAUACGCAUGCCCAUCAAACAGGCUCACAAAGAAAAGCAAUGGGAAGCAGAAUUACACUAAUGCAAUCCAAACCGGAGCUAACCUCGUUUGUGUGCAGGAGCGAUGAUGAAAGGGGUUGUCAGCAAGGAGAGAGAUAGGAAAGCAGAAUGUAUACAGAGUGAUAACAACAGGCUGCAGUUCUGGGGGGCUCCCAGCUGCAGAGCAACUCAGCAAAGAGCAUCAGAGCAAUAUACAUCACUCAGGCUCAGCAGGACCACCAACCCAACCGCAAGGAAUAGCCAGAGGGAGGGAGAGAGCAGUGCUGGCAAAGCAGCUCAAGAGAAACAGAAAUGUAAAGCCAUACCUCGUCUGGAAGGAAACCAGCACUGCUAGAGAGAGGCAGAGGAACGGCAGGGAGCACGGAAAGCACCUGAGGGGAGGGCUCCAGAGCCGUGCCCUGCUGGAAACUUUAAGCAGCCUUUUAGGCAAGUCAGAGUCAACCAGCUAUGUUUUCAGUUGUUGUCUGAGGAAGCAUCUAGUGGAAAACAGCGCGUUUAGCGGUUAAAGCAAGAGCUCAAAACCCGACAGCUUGUAAAGUUCCAUUCCCAACCCCGACAGUCGUUUGAUGCGUGACUUUGAACAACCGACUCCUCUGCGUUUCGGUUCUCUCACGUGCACAGGCGGACCUCGCUAAGGAUGCUGCCGAGCGGCGGGCUGUGCUGCAGGGCUGCUGCUACUGCCAGCGCGGGCACAGUCCGGGAGAUGGAGGGAGUUACGAUAACGAGAGCUGCUUGCUGAAAUUAGUCCUUUUGCAGCUGACAACACCAGGCACCCAGAUGCAUCUUGCAGACACAAACAAGCCGUAUAUUGCUACUGACCCUUGAGCACCACACAUCCAACCCCACACUGCUAGGCUCCCGCCCGAGGUACGAACGGCACAGCGGUGCCAAGGGAGCAGAGAGCCGGUGGGGGGCACGGCACGGCAUUGCCACCCCACGGCACGCACAGUGGGCACCGACGGACCGAACCCGCAGGGCUGCAGGACGAGGCCGGGCCCGGCACCACCGCCGCCCGCGUGCCGUGAGGUGACGGCUGUGAGAGCUCACCCCGCACAACCCGAACCCGCAGCCCAGAAAUACCGCAUUCUAGUAAAACAGAACCGGGAUCUGCCACGGGAUGCCGGGGGAGCGCGCGCAGCACCGAGCGGGGCUUUAUUCCCCGCGGGGAACACGGCCAGACGGGGCCAAACACCCCGCGCUGAGGCGCCCCGGGGGGGGCUGAGGUGACCCCCGCGCACCGCCCCCCACCCCCCACCCCGCUCACCUGCUCCGCACGCCCGUGCCCGCCGGGCUCCCGGCCCAGCCCGGCCCCGCUGCCGGCGGGCGGCCCCGCCCCGCGCUCAGGCACCGUCUGCAAAGCGCCGCCCGGGCCGCUCCGUCGGGCACCGUCUGCAAACGGCGCGCGCGCAGCCUGCGUGUACAAAAGGCGCGACGGAGAUGCGAUGCCCGCAGCAGCAGCCCGACCCGCCGGCCCGGAGUUGCCGCCAUCGCCAGCACGGCGCGCCAGGGCCGCAGCCCGAACGCUUUAAGCGCGUCAGGACGCUGCACACGUACCGCCCGAGGCCUCAGCCGUGUCCCAGCGCCCCGCGGGCCGCUCUGUGCCUCCUUACGCUUUCAGCAGCAGUUCGGUACCGAAGGAGCAUCUGCUCAUUUGAGAGAUGUCAUCUCGUGCUGCGCCCGGCGUGCUGUGGGGCAGAGAGCAGCACUGUGAGCCCGGAGCUGUGCUCGGACCGCUUCAGCCCCAGGCAUGGAAACAAACAUUUUUACAAGCCCCGAAACGACCAUUUUUCCUAAAGCUUGCCUGGCUGCAGGCGCGCCAUUAAGGUAUAAGCUCAGGUUUUUUCCAUGUUGUAAUCCAAGGAAAGCUCAUUAUUCUGGCGAUCUGACUCACUGGGUUCCCUGAACAUUCCCAGUUGGCAGUGCGGGAUAGCUCAGCAUCAGUACAAACUGUGACUGUCGAAACGUUCGUUCCUCAGCUCUGUUUGAAUCCACCACGUCUUAAUGUGACCUUUCAAAGCUCAGAAACUGCCUAUUUUAAAUUGUUACCCCUGACAUGUGCUGCGGAUAUUUUUAACAGACUGUUUACUGGAAUUCUGGUUUCUGUUCCGCUAUUUUUUUUCCUUCCCUUUCAACAGCUUCUCUGCUCACCAGCUCCCAGGCCCACACGCAGCACAGCGCUGCAGGACAUCUGCCUGCAAGGCAUUGGACAACACACUGCAGGGAGGGGGAAAGGGAACCGAAAGUCAGAAGGCAGUUGCAGUGCACCAGGGUAAGGAUGGGAGAUGUCCAGGAAGGGAAGGCGGGUUACUGCUUUCCCUCUGGGUUAUUGAGAGAAAAGUGCUAUGGGGUUUGAAGGAAAUUAACAGUCAGAGGUAUCCACGCGGCAUUGCCAGUGCAUCCAACACGAGGCAUGCUCUAGUAUUAAACCAGCACACCGUCUCUGUGCCCUCAGUUACCAGUCUUACAUAGCUCCUCCUCUCGGCAGUUAUCCGCACAUCACUUUGCAGGUUGUUUCUGUCUGCUCUGCUCCAGGUGCACCAUACUUGCAUGGUCUGCCCAGCAUCCCUCUGCACAGUGGACGUGGUUGGAAACACCAAGUGUAAAGCACCUAAACUUCUCCCUUCCUAAUCCUGCUCUACAGCAACUUGGUGCACAAGAACAUUGCUGCUGGUUGUAGCCUGGAUAGAGCACUGGUUGGCUUCUAGAGGGGAAGGGAACAGAGGGAGAAAGAAGAGGACAACAAGCAAAUAACGUCCCCAUGGCACCUUGUGUUUACAGCAUUGCCUGGUAAGAGUGCUUGCAGCUGCCCGGGGGCACCUGGAGAGAAAAGCACCGUGCCAGCCUGCAGCUCCUGAGCCACCUGGAUAUUGGCAAGUUUAGUAACUGACAGCAGGUAGGUACUCACUGCUUCUACGGGCAGAGAAGCGAGAAGGCUAGGAUUUUUAGCAUCUUACUCUAAACUUACUCAAAAUAAAUAAAUAAAAGAGAAAGAAAGAAAAAAGCCACAUUUAAUUGCACCACAAAGCAAACAGGAAGCCAGAGCAGUUUUAGGAGAGUUGAAACUAUUUGCUCCAUGUGGUUAACACUACCAAACAGGCGGGCAACCGCGUUUUUACAUCAGCUAUGCAGUUGGUCUGCAAAUAUGGCAGGUUACUUGCUCUUAUUUAAAAGUCAAAAGAAGUUUUCUUGGCCACAAGAUGCGAAAUAAGAUCCCGGCCACAAGAAGCGUACGGCAGCGAUCCCCGCCGGCUGCAGGAGGCGAGCGGCAGCCUCACCACUAAGAGCAGAGAGAACCCCUGGUCACACCAAGAGCACACACUGAGGAUCACCGUUUCUUUUUGCUUCUCACACGAAGCUCAGUGACAGCUCAAUGCUGCUGCAGGCUUCUCCUUCUUUGGGGGGGUUUCUUGGAACCCGUGUAUAUCAGGCCCUGGGCUCUCUUGAAGCUAGCAGUGUGCACACUGAGUGGAAGGGAGGAGAGCUGACGGCUUUACUAAUUAUGAUGAACUUCACAAACACUGUAACACCUCUGCAUCUUACAGAUGUUGGCUCAAGCAGGCAACAAGAGGAAGAACAGACCUUCCUCGCUCUGAAAAUCAGUGCCAGCGCUCUCAGGAAAGCACUGACUAAUCCAAACCAACUGCAGAUCCAACACUCAACCCUGCUGGUGAAAUUCAGAUGUGAAUCCACCAUUUUAACAUCAGGCUCUGUAUGAUUCAUACAGCAAUCCCCGCUGUGGUACGACGUUGGAGGUAGCGUGCACAGCCUGCUCAUCAGCAUUAUGGAGCAAACAUCCAUCCCAGGAAACCAGGCUCCCAACGAGCACUGGGAGCACAGCAGCACCAGCUCUGACAAAUUGCCAUUUGAAGGCAAUACAGCACUACUAACAACGUCUGCUUUUCAUUAUUAAGGCAUUCAGAAUACAUACACUCGUUUGUACUGCUUAACAAGGUUCUAGGUGGAAUGGUAACCUCUGCACACCCAGGCUUUUCCUCCUUCGUCCUUGACAUGUGAAAAAACUGA